UAUGGUAUAAUGUGCUUUUGUGAUUAGGAAUUUUUAGAUGUGGAUUGCAAACCUAAUGUGAGUCCCUGCUGUUUUAAAUCAUGUGAGUCCCUGCUGUUUUCAAACCUCUUUUCAGAGAGACUGCUUGUUUGUUUUGCUUGAGGACAAGCAAAAGGGUAAGUCUAGUGGAGUUGAUAGACCAUGGAUUUGACCCACUUUUAUCAUGGUUUAUAAGUGUUUUAACUACUAAUUAUUAUAUUAUAGAAUCAAUUUAGAAUAUUUAUAGGAUCAUGAGUGAUUUGGAGAUAAGUGAUAAUUUUGGAGCAUUUUGGAGAUAUUUGGAGCAAGCAUCCGAGAUGACCAUCGAGCUCGACCAUCGGUCGAUACUGAAGAGGAAUAAUCGAUCGAUGUUCAUGUCUUGACAUCGAUAGACAGCUAAGCGCGCAUAAAGCUCAAUUGGU
RNAcentral lists this long non-coding RNA (440 nucleotides) under Brassica napus (rape). RNAcentral's name for it is "long non-coding RNA (BNAP_LNC007656)". The record is from RNAcentral. Lineage: Eukaryota; Viridiplantae; Streptophyta; Magnoliopsida; Brassicales; Brassicaceae.